UACGUAGGGGGCAAGCGUUGUCCGGAUUUAUUGGGCGUAAAGAGCUCGUAGGCGGUUUGUCGCGUCGGAUGUGAAAACCUGGGGCUUAACCUCGGGCCUGCAUUCGAUACGGGCAGACUAGAGUUCGGUAGGGGAGACUGGAAUUCCUGGUGUAGCGGUGAAAUGCGCAGAUAUCAGGAGGAACACCGGUGGCGAAGGCGGGUCUCUGGGCCGAUACUGACGCUGAGGAGCGAAAGCGUGGGGAGCGAACAGG
RNAcentral lists this ribosomal RNA (253 nucleotides) under uncultured bacterium. RNAcentral describes it as "partial 16S ribosomal RNA". It matches the Rfam family "Bacterial small subunit ribosomal RNA", at positions 524 to 776 of the family's 1533-position model. The record is from RNAcentral.